UGUGUGUUUCCAUCUCCAGCCCCGUGCCUGGCUCACGAAUCGCACCGUAGCACAAAGAGCAGAACAGCCCACCGGAAGCUACACUGCAGCAAUUGUUGUUGUGAGACACUGAAACCUGAGAUCCACUUUCCUGAGAUGUCAUGGGGGACCAUCAGAGAGCCCCGCCCCUCAUCCCAGCCUCAUCUACUCUGAUGUCCUGCUUCUGAUACAUAAAAUGGCACCAUGAUCCACGACUGCAUAGUAAAGCUGAGGAG
This is a non-coding RNA of Myodes glareolus (Bank vole), 254 nucleotides long. The record is from RefSeq and is a predicted model, not a curated record. Lineage: Eukaryota; Metazoa; Chordata; Mammalia; Rodentia; Cricetidae.